AGAGUUUGAUCCUGGCUUAGGACGAACGCUGGCGGUGUGCCUCAUGCAUGCAAGUCGAACGAUAAGGUCUCUUCGGAGAUACAUAAGUGGCGGACGGGUGAGUACAACAUAGGAAAUCUGCCUUAGGGUGGGGGACAACAGAGGGAAACUCCUGCUAAUACCCCAUAUGAGCUAACUUGAAAUAGUUAUCUUGAAAACUCCGGUGCCCUAAGAUGAGCCUGUGCCUGAUUAGCUGGUUGGUGGUGUAAUGGACUACCAAGGCGACGAUCAGUAGCUGGUUUGAGAGGAUGAUCAGCCACAAUGGGACUGAGACACGGCCCAUACUCCUACGGGAGGCAGCAGUAGGGAAUUUUGCGCAAUGGGGGGAAAAACCCCUGACGCAGCAACACCGCGUGAAUGUUAAGCCCUUCGGGGUGUAAAGUUCUGUCAGUAGGGAAGAACAAAUGACUGUACCUACAAAGGAAGCACCGGCUAACUCCGUGCCAGCCGCGGC
RNAcentral lists this ribosomal RNA (493 nucleotides) under uncultured bacterium. Its description in RNAcentral is "bacterial SSU rRNA". It matches the Rfam family "Bacterial small subunit ribosomal RNA", at positions 8 to 518 of the family's 1533-position model. The record is from RNAcentral.